CGAAAUUCCUUGUCGGGUAAGUUCCGACCCGCACGAAAGGCGUAACGAUUUGGGCGCUGUCUCGACGGUGGACUCGGUGAAAUCAUAGUACCUGUGAAGAUGCAGGUUACCCGCGACAGGACGGAAAGACCCCGUGGAGCUUUACUGCAGCUUGAUAUUGGACUUUGGUGCAGCAUGUACAGGAUAGGUAGGAGACUAAGAAUCUGGGACGCCAGUUUCAGAGGAGUCGACGUUGGGAUACUACCCUUGUUGUACUGAGGUUCUAACUAGCGUUUAAGAAACGAGACGUAGGACAGUGUCAGGUGGGCAGUUUGACUGGGGCGGUCGCCUCCUAAAGAGUAACGGAGGCGCCCAAAGGUUCCCUCAGAAUGGUUGGAAAUCAUUCGGAGAGCGCAAAGGCAGAAGGGAGCUUGACUGUGAGAGAGACAACUCGAGCAGGGACGAAAGUCGGGCUUAGUGAUCCGGCGGUGCCGAAUGGAAGGGCCGUCGCUCAACGGAUAAAAGCUACCCCGGGGAUAACAGGCUUAUCUCCCCCAAGAGUCCACAUCGACGGGGAGGUUUGGCACCUCGAUGUCGGCUCAUCGCAUCCUGGAGCUGAAGUAGGUUCCAAGGGUUGGGCUGUUCGCCCAUUAAAGCGGUACGCGAGCUGGGUUCAGAACGUCGUGAGACAGUUCGGUCCCUAUCCGUCGCGGGCGCAGGAAAUUUGAGAGGAGCUGUCCCUAGUACGAGAGGACCGGGAUGGACAUACCGCUGGUGUACCAGUUGUCUCGCCAGGGGCACGGCUGGGUAGCCAAGUAUGGAAGGGAUAAACGCUGAAAGCAUCUAAGCGUGAAGCCCCCCUCAAGAUGAGAUUUCCCAUUCUGAAAGGAAGUAAGAACCCUUGAAGAAGACGAGGUAGAUAGGCCAGAGGUGGAAGCGUGGUGACACGUGGAGCUGACUGGUACUAAUAGUUCGAGGGCUUAACCUA
Molecule: ribosomal RNA, 967 nt
Filed under: bioreactor metagenome
Description: bacterial LSU rRNA
Rfam family: Bacterial large subunit ribosomal RNA
Source: RNAcentral